UUAACUAUUAUAUAGUACUCAGACAUUAUAGACAUACAGAGUUUAGGUCCUCUGGCAGGCGCUCGCCAGCCGGAGCCGGCGGCCCAAAGGCAGGCCUGCCAAAGCAACAAAGGUGUGGUAGACAAAGGGUGGUAUAGAUAUGCCCCUGCUACCGACUUAACGGUCAGCGGGCUGCUAUAACAUUAAUGAUCCUUCCGCAGGUUCACCUACGGAAA
Molecule: unclassified non-coding RNA, 215 nt
Filed under: uncultured fungus
Lineage: Eukaryota; Fungi
Description: sequence contains ITS1
Source: RNAcentral